Molecule: ribosomal RNA, 252 nt
Filed under: uncultured bacterium
Lineage: Bacteria
Description: partial 16S ribosomal RNA
Rfam family: Bacterial small subunit ribosomal RNA
Source: RNAcentral
UACGUAGGUGGCAAGCGUUAUCCGGAUUUAUUGGGUUUAAAGGGUGCGUAGGCGGGUUAUCAAGUCAGCGGUAAAAUCGUGGAGCUCAACUCCAUCCAGCCGUUGAAACUGAUGAUCUUGAGUGGGCGAGAAGUAUGCGGAAUGCGUGGUGUAGCGGUGAAAUGCAUAGAUAUCACGCAGAGCUCCGAUUGCGAAGGCAGCAUACCGGCGCCCGACUGACGCUGAAGCACGAAAGCGUGGGUAUCGAACAGG